This 935-nucleotide long non-coding RNA is filed under the name Astyanax mexicanus (Mexican tetra). Its description in RNAcentral is "lncRNA (ENSAMXG00005004962.1)". The record is from RNAcentral. Lineage: Eukaryota; Metazoa; Chordata; Actinopteri; Characiformes; Acestrorhamphidae.
UCAUCACAGUGAUGUCAUCACAGACGCUGUAUAAAGAGGCGUGUUUUCACAGAGGAGCCUCAGUCAGGACCCAGCAGUUCACUUAGUUUAAGUACAGAUUCUGAGCUACAGGUUUCAGAUUUAAAAUGACUGAGAGUAAAUUCACCUGUAUGGCGGAUCUCAUGGAGCAUCUCCACGCUUUAUCUUUAGCUCAUUUAGCCUCGUCAGCAUCCCGCGACUUCCCCAGCCAGCAGGACCUCGACCCUAUCCAAAGAAGAGCGAAUGGCCAACCUAUCUGUUCAUUGAGGACCUUCAUAUAUGGCUGUGGGGACACUGGUGAUACCGUUGAGGAACGAACCAUAAAAUACUGGUACUUGUUUCACACCGGGAGCAGGGACUCAUGGGAAUCUUCCUCUGAAAGCGAGGAGGACAGAGUAGCGCCUUUCCCCUUCGAGGGAUUUUGCUCCGCUUCCUCUUUAAAAAAUGAGGAGGACGUUAUAGAGCAGCCUGAACCUGAGGAGUCCAAGAUGAAGGAGGAGGAGGAGGAGGAGCUAUCUGGCUGCUUUACAAUCAAGACUGAUAUCGUGGCAGUACUUGUGGAAGCUUUUCGAGCAUUUAGACUGAGGAUGAGGAAAGCUUUCCGAAGAGGAAGAGGAAGAGUCGAGCCGGUGCAGAGCCCUUCCUUCUAGGAGGAUCCGACUUCUGCUUCUGCUCAAGAAGCGCCUCUCAGGACUCCUGAUGCUGAGGCAGAAGCUGAGGAGGAAGCAGCCGAGGAGGAAGCAGCCGAGGAGGAAGCAGCUGAGGAGGAAGCGUCUUCAGAGACUCGGAGAACCAGGAAGCUGCGCUUCCCCAAAUUUAAGGUAUGUUAGUUAUUAGAGUGUUGAUUGUUAAUUGUGACAGCGGCAGAUUUAUACCAUAAAUCUAUAAUAAUAAAUAAAAUAUAUAUCAGAAAUACA